UGGAGGUUCAGGUUGGUGAAUGGGGUAAAAGUCGACCCCAGACCCAGCGGAUUUGGGGAGGGAGGAAACCUCAGGCCGUGCUCAGGCUGAGACAAUACAGUAAUUGCCUCAGUUCAGUCACGCCCUUUUUUUUUUUUUUUUUUUUUUUUUACCUUCUCGUGGUUGUUUUUUUGUUUGUUUGUUUUGGCUGACCCAUUCUGGAGACCACGGAUCGUAAGAGACCUGUGUUUCUGUCAUCUUCGCUCCCUGCUUUAGUGAGUCCCCAUCUCUACCCUUCUUCAGGGCAGUGGAAUUUGAUCACGAGAAGUUGCUUCACUACUCGCAGAUACCAGCCGAAGCCAGAAGAACAUACCAACGGCAGAGAAACCAGGAAGAUAAUUCUGCCUAUUUAAUACUUUACAAUAUGGACUGUUUCCUUUUAGUUUAAAUAUAAUAUCAUCAGCUUGAAGAAAGUGAAAUUCCCAUAUACCUCUUAAUUUUGUGUUUCCUACCCCCAGAAUCUCUACCUAUCAACUCUGCUUUUUACAACAUUUGGCUCUAAUAAGACAGUACUGGAGGCAGCUUUGGAAUGUAGAUACAAAGUGCCUUUAUGCCAAAAGAUAAUUUCACAACAUGGAGAUCCUUGCUUAAGUCGAGACUAUCUUCAGUUACAUUUAUAGGAUGUAUUGCCUUAGUGCCUAGUUUUGUCCUUAAUCCGGAAUUGAGGGAAACUAGGACGCUUCAGAAGUUAAGAAGGUUGGCAGAGGUGGCUAUAGAUGUAACAUUCCACCCUCCUUAUCAAACUAUCCAGAGAGCAUGGUGUCCAAACUAUAAAUAAAUCGUCAAAAGAUUCUGAGUAUCAGAGUUCUGAGCUAUCCAAAAUAGGCAUGCACAGGGCAGUUGCUUUAUACUGACUAUAAAGGGGGCUAGAGACUAUGCAUUGGUUUAGGCUUGUGUUUUUUGUGGGCAGAUGAAUAGCAUAAGAAUCAGAAGAUACAGGAAUCAUAAGCACUAACACUGGAAACAGCUAGAUGUGGGUGGGGCUGCGAAAUUGUUCAUGAACCCAUCCUGCUGUGGAUGAAUCCAGAACUUCCCUGAGGUUUCCACCUCUGCUGUAGUGGGACAAGAUUGUAAAUAGACAAGGCCCAGGGCAUCUGCAGAUGGUAAGUGUGGUAGAGAGGGAUUGGAGUGGUUUUCUGGUGUGUCUGUGGGAAGCAGCUGCUAUCCUUAAGGAAGAAAAGAUGCAGAAGGAAAAUGGCUAGCUGUCAGUGACAACACAUCUUGUGAAGUCUUACUCUUUCAUUUCUGACACUGUGGUUCUUACAUCUGUCCUAAACCCGGCAGCCUCAUUGAGAUUCACGAAGCAUGUCCUAUGUGACAGUAAGACUGGAAUUAUUAUCAAGGUGGGAUCCAUCCCUGCUACAGUACAGCCAUGAAAGGAAUCACAAGUUAGUCAGAAACUUUGUACAGCUUCUCAGCCAUCUUCCCAGGAAUCAACAGAUAUACCACAGGAAAAGCUGUUAUAAAUGCUGGGUUCAACUCUUUUUCUUCUGGAUUUUCCAUCACGUCAUUAAUUUUUUAAUGCCUUCAGAUGUUUCUAUUAUAUUCUGUCUAUCCUUUUGAGUUCUCAGAAGAAGGACUAGUCUCAGUGACCAAGCCUAUCAUUACUAAAUAAUAUAAAAAUAAGUACACAUGAAUGAUUUGUAAAAUUUAACCAUUUAGAUCACAUUUUAUAAUUGUAGUAUUAAUUUAAAAAUCAGUAACAAUAGAAAUCCAGAAAACCUCAUAAUUGUAAAAUAAAUUCAUUUCUAUGUAAGAUGGAUCUAAUUCAAAUAAGGAUUCUUAAAGAAAAAUAGAAAAUACAUACUUAGAACUGAACAAUGACAAAAAUAUUACAUAUCAACACCUAUAGAAUACAGCUAUGACAGUACUUCAAGGAAAUUGAAAACUUUAAAUAUUUAAAUAAAGAACACUGAAAAUUAAAGAACUAAUAAUCUGUUCUAAACCUAAGUGAUUAGGAAAAGAAUAAUGGAAAAAAAAUCAGGUAAUGAAUGAAGCAGAAAACAAAUAUUCAAUACAAAGGGGUACAAAAUCUAAAAUUGUAUCUUGUACAAAUUGCCAGAUAAAAAAAGGUCUGCGGGGAAGUACAGUACAGCAUAGGGAAUAUAGUCAAUAAUACUCUAAUAACUAUCUAUGGUAUCAAAUGGGUACUAGACUUAUCAGGGUGAUUAUUUUGUAAGUUAUAAUAAUGUCUCAUCACUAAGUUACACACCUGAAACAUAUUGUAUGUCAUAUGCAACAACAAAAAAAAGUUGUAUCUUUCAAUAAUAGCUAACAAAUCUUGGACAAGUUUACCCAAGAAAGAAAACAGAGAAUAUUAAAAAUGAAAAUGGGAACAUUACUACAAAUUCUGUAGAUAUUGAGGAGAUACCAUUAACAAUUUUGUUAGAAGAAAUAGAAAAGUAAAAGUUUCCAGAAAGUGUAACCUUUCAAAAGUCAUGUAAGAAGAAACAGGAAAUAUAAAUGAUCUGAUUGCUGAUUAUCUGAUGUAAGAUAUUGAAUCAUUAGAAAUUUCCCCAAAAUGAAAACAUGUUGCCCAGAGAGUUUUGCCAAACAUCCAUCAGAGAAAAAAUGGCAAUCUUACAUAAACCAUUUUUGAGUAUAUAAAAGAGGAAAUGUCCUUGUGUUCAUUUAUUAGGCUUCUGUAAUCUUGACACUAAAACUGAUAAGAACAGUGAAAGAGAGUCCAAUCAUAUUCAUGAAGAUAGAAGCGAAAAUCCUAAAUAACAUAGUAUCAAGCAAAACCCAGUAAAUGUGUAAAAAAAGGAAAGAAAACAUCAUCCAGUUGAAUUUAAUCCAGGAAUGUACUUUAGCAUGUUAAAAGAUUAAAAGAGAAAAAUCAUAAGCUUUAGGAAAAGUUAGCACAGAUACGGAUAAAACCUUUUGGCAAAGUACAAUUGUGCAGAACUUCCUUAAGUCAAUCAAACUUACAAUGAACAUUUUAAUGAAAUUUUUGAAGCAGUCCCUUAGAAUCAGGAAUGAGAACCACAUUGGAGAUAACCCAGCCAGCAUUGAAGGCAAUGAAAACAAAGUAUAUAAAGACUAGAAAUGAAGAAACAUAAUUCACAGAUUAUUAAAAUAAGAGCUGUGCAAGGAUUCUGUAUAUAUCAAUAUAAAAAAGCAGACUGUGUUUCUCUAGCAAAAAGGAACUAUUAGAAAGUGAUUUUUAAUGAUACCAUUUACUAUACCAUUUUAAAAUAUGAAUUACAUAUGAGUAAAUUUAAAAAUACAAAAGACAUUUAGGGGAAACAAUCACAAUGUUAUUGAAAGGCAUUGAAGAAUAUCUAAUAAAAAGAAAAAUAUACCAUGGUCAAGUAUUAAGAGACUCUAGAGUUAAGGUGGCAGUUCUUUCGUACACAAUGAAAGCAGUUGCAGUAAAAAUUCCAAGCGAAUUUUC
Long non-coding RNA from Phyllostomus discolor (pale spear-nosed bat), 3436 nucleotides. RefSeq lists it as uncharacterized. The transcript has 2 exons. The record is from RefSeq and is a predicted model, not a curated record. Lineage: Eukaryota; Metazoa; Chordata; Mammalia; Chiroptera; Phyllostomidae.